This 757-nucleotide ribosomal RNA is filed under the name uncultured archaeon. RNAcentral describes it as "bacterial SSU rRNA". It matches the Rfam family "Archaeal small subunit ribosomal RNA", at positions 1 to 763 of the family's 1478-position model. The record is from RNAcentral.
GUUUCCGGUUGAUCCUGCCGGACCUGACUGCUAUCGGAUUGAUACUAAGCCAUGCGAGUCAUUGUAGCAAUACAAGGCAGACGGCUCAGUAACGCGUAGUCAACCUAACCUAUGGACGGGAAUAACCUCGGGAAACUGAGAAUAAUGCCCGAUAGAACACUAUACCUGGAAUGGUUUGUGUUCCAAAUGAUUUAUCGCCGUAGGAUGGGACUGCGGCCUAUCAGUUUGUUGGUGAGGUAAUGGCCCACCAAGACUAUUACAGGUACGGGCUCUGAGAGGAGUAGCCCGGAGAUGGGUACUGAGACACGGACCCAGGCCCUAUGGGGCGCAGCAGGCGAGAAAACUUUGCAAUGUGCGAAAGCACGACAAGGUUAAUCCGAGCGGUUUCUGCUAAAGGAACCUUUUGUUAGUCCUAGAAACACUAACGAAUAAGGGGUGGGCAAGUUCUGGUGUCAGCCGCCGCGGUAAAACCAGCACCUCAAGUGGUCAGGAUGAUUAUUGGGCCUAAAGCAUCCGUAGCCGGCUCUGUAAGUUUUCGGUUAAAUCUGUACGCUCAACGUACAGGCUGCCGGGAAUACUGCAGAGCUAGGGAGUGGGAGAGGUAGACGGUACUCGGGAGGAAGUGGUAAAAUGCUUUGAUCUCUCGAUGACCACCUGUGGCGAAGGCGGUCUACCAGAACACGUCCGACGGUGAGGGAUGAAAGCUGGGGGAGCAAACCAGAUUAGAUACCCGGGUAGUCCCAGCUGUAAACUAUGC